RNAcentral lists this unclassified non-coding RNA (520 nucleotides) under uncultured Glomus. RNAcentral's name for it is "SSU rRNA". It matches the Rfam family "Eukaryotic small subunit ribosomal RNA", at positions 569 to 1089 of the family's 1831-position model. Lineage: Eukaryota; Fungi; Glomeromycota; Glomeromycetes; Glomerales; Glomeraceae. The record is from RNAcentral.
AGCAGCCGCGGUAAUUCCAGCUCCAAUAGCGUAUAUUAAAGUUGUUGCAGUUAAAAAGCUCGUAGUUGAAUUUCGGGGUUAGUAGGUUGGUCAUGCCUCUGGUAUGUACUGGUCUCACUGAUUCCUCCUUCCUGAUGAGCCGUAAUGCCAUUAAUUUGGUGUUGCGGGGAAUCUGGACUGUUACUUUGAAAAAAUUUAGAGUGUUUAAAGCAAGCUAACGCUUGAAUACAUUAGCAUGGAAUAAUGAAAUAGGACGUUCGAUCCUAUUUUGUUGGUUUCUAGGAUUGACGUAAUGAUUAAUAGGGAUAGUUGGGGGCAUUAGUAUUCAAUUGUCAGAGGUGAAAUUCUUGGAUUUAUUGAAGACUAACUACUGCGAAAGCAUUUGCCAAGGAUGUUUUCAUUAAUCAAGAACGAAAGUUAGGGGAUCGAAGACGAUCAGAUACCGUCGUAGUCUUAACCGUAAACUAUGCCGACUAGGGAUCGGAUGAUGUUAAUUUUUUAAUGACUCAUUCGGCGCCUU